ACGGGUGUAGCUCAGCUGGUAGAGCAGCGGUCUCCAAAACCGAAGGUCGUGAGUUCGAUCCUUACCACCCGUG
Molecule: transfer RNA, 73 nt
Filed under: Owenweeksia sp.
Lineage: Bacteria; Pseudomonadati; Bacteroidota; Flavobacteriia; Flavobacteriales; Owenweeksiaceae
Also listed under: 1 other name
Description: tRNA-Trp
Rfam family: tRNA
About the family: Transfer RNA (tRNA) molecules are approximately 80 nucleotides in length. Their secondary structure includes four short double-helical elements and three loops (D, anti-codon, and T loops).
Source: RNAcentral